Acanthopagrus latus (yellowfin seabream) is the source of this 1565-nucleotide long non-coding RNA. RefSeq lists it as uncharacterized. The record is from RefSeq and is a predicted model, not a curated record. The transcript has 3 exons. Lineage: Eukaryota; Metazoa; Chordata; Actinopteri; Spariformes; Sparidae.
GUUUGUUCCCAGGUUACCUUCCAGGAUGCGCAGGGAAAAAAAUCAGAAAGAAGAGCAGGAAAUAACGCACAAUUCACAGGCCAAGGAGCAAAUUAUCAUCUUCUGAUACUACCACUGCAUUUAAGUCUGCAGAUGUCCACUCAAGAACAACACCAUCUAUGGUCUCUACACACUUCGGACCAUCCAUUAAGUGCUUGUGGAGAAAGAGGACUGUCAUACAGAGAAAGGCAUGGUGAAGGGUUGGACGGAGUAAUCAGCAAGCAGAGAAGGGGGACACGGGGAGAACAAAAGAAAGAGACAACAAGAAGAAGAGGAAAAGGGAGGGAGAAGAAAAAUAUAGAAGCUCAUUCUUUGACAUGUUGCUGACCACAGUAAAGAAGUCAUUCUUGAUACUGUGGCUCAAUGGAUGGCAAUUUCAGUCUUUCAGUUACGUGGUCCAUGACUUUUGUCCGGGCUGAGAUACUUUAUCUCAACCACAAUUGGAUAGAUUGAGGUUGAAAUUCUGUACAGUCAUUCACGGUCCCCAGGUGAUGAGUUCUACUGACUUUGGUAAUCUCCUGACUUUUUCGCUAGCACCGCCACUUUCAAAAACACUUUUGUUGUUUUUGAAAGACAUGUCUGAACAAGUACUGCAAAGAUUACUGUGAAAAUUGGUACAGACAUCCCGACCGUGAUGUAAUUUAAUACCUUUUAAUGAAAUUCCCAUCAUCUCAGCUCUACCUUUUAUAGAAUGGUAAUAUGUUAAAGUAAGACGUCGAACAUCAUAAUCAUUAUAACAUCAGGAGCAUUUUAAGAAUGCUAAUGUAGUAUUCAGCAUUAACUGGCUAUUGACAACUUUUUUCUUUGACUUAAAUUAUGAAGAAAAUGUUGAGAGCUAAAUAAUGUGAAAAAGAAAUCCGGUCUUUGUGACAAGGCUGCCACCAAAGGGGGAAAGCUACAGUGGGCUAAGUUGAAAAGUUGACUCAUCUUCACUUUAAAUACCGCUACCAAAUGUCUUCAACCUGCACUCUUUAAAAUGGCCACUAAGAGGUGACUCCACUAGUAGCAAAAGUAGUCUAAUUGUAUGGACAGUUAUGAUAAGAUGAUUCCACUUCUCACAGGAUUUAUUAGCUCAGUAAUCAGUUUAGAAGUGUGUAGAAGUAUAAUAACUUUUCUUAUUAGUUUUGUUGUUUAGAAGAAUUGUAGCCCUUUUAUACACAAGUUGAACAAAAAAGUAUUAUCACAUCAUGAUAUUACUUUUACAGUAAUUAAAACUAGAGUAUAUUCUCAGAAGCUUAAGCCAACACCUCAUCAAGAGAAUUAUGUAUCUUCUUUUUUUCAUUUAAGACACAUUCUAAUGUAGCUGGAAAUACUGUUUACUGUUGAUCCCUGAUGACAUUCCUUCUCUUUGUACAUUAGCGACUGUCACUCUCAUAAAAUGUUAUUGCCACUGAUGGAGCUGUCUGUUAUGAAUUUUCCAUUUUCAUUCUCCAUUUUCCUCAUUGAGAAAAAUGAUCUCCACAGUAAUGAUGAUCACAGAUGAUGUUCUGGACAGAUAACAAUGAGUGAGACAUGACUGCGACAUG